Melopsittacus undulatus (budgerigar) is the source of this 2132-nucleotide long non-coding RNA. RefSeq lists it as uncharacterized. NCBI's taxonomy places the organism in Eukaryota, Metazoa, Chordata, Aves, Psittaciformes, Psittaculidae. The transcript is spliced from 5 exons. The record is from RefSeq and is a predicted model, not a curated record.
ACCCUUGUGCUAUAGGGUAUAUGACUCAGGAAUAUGGCAGAAUUGUUGCAUCAUUUCUGAUUUGCCUUGGAUUUUCUUUCUGUUCCCCUUGAGGAACAAUGAGGUCUUUCAAUCUUGGAAGAAAUUUAGGAAUUUCAAGUCCCUGCAAAGAAACAUGCUUGUUCUCUGUGUAGCUGAAAGAAGGCAGAACUUACUUAAAAGGCCUAUCACCUUAAAAUAGGGGACCUUUCUCUGGCCUGUGUGAGAGUAGCACUUUCUUAAUUGCAUUUAAAUAACUAUGUAGCAUGAUCGAAGUAUACUUUCACCAAAUCUGUUUCACUAAAAGUAUUUUUCAUGCUCUGCAGUAACUGAAGUGCUGCAGUUGAGUGAUGCUCUUCGAGAUGACAUCCUUCCUGAACUUGGUGUUCGAUUUGAAGAUCAUGAAGGACUUCCAACUGUGGUUAAAUUAGUGGAUAAAGACACGUUAUUGAAAGAACGAGAAGAAAAGAAAAAGGUUGAAGAAGAGAAAAAAAGGAAGAAAGAAGAAGCGGCCAGGAAAAAACAACAGCAGGAAGCAGCAAAACUGGAAAAAAUGAAGAUUCCACCACAUGAAAUGUUCAAAUCAGAACAUGACAAAUAUUCCAUGUUUGAUGAAAAUGGAUUUCCCACCCAUGAUACAGAAGGCAAAGAACUCAGCAAAGGACAAAUAAAGAAGCUAAAGAAACUUUAUGAAACCCAAGAAAAACUAUACAAGGAGUAUCUACAAAUGGUUCAGAAUGGAAUUGCAAACUGAAAACGAGGACUUUUUUUAGAAGGCAAGUGCUGGGUCACCAUUGAAGAAGUGAGCAUAUACUGAUGCUCAAAUUUGUGUUUACACUUUCUAUUAUGUGCAAAGAGAAAAUCCCAUUUACGUAGAUGAAUAAUGACAUCUGGAAAGUCAAUAAAAAUCCAUUCUUAAAAAAAAAAAAAGCCAAGCUCUAAGAAGUUUCUUUGCAGCAACAGUAGCAGGUUGAAUGGUUGCCAGUUCUAUCUGGGAAGUCAGCAAAUCCACAUAAGGAUUCUUGUUUAUUAUAGCUGCCCAGGUUUUGGUUAAUUUGUCCUGUAUACUCAUCUUUAAGACCCACUGUAGCUAACAUACUGGCAUAUGUCACAGUCAGCAAGAUUUACUGCUAAAUGGGAGUUGAGUAAUUUAUCCCACAGUAAGAACAGUAUUUUCCAGAUGACUUCAGUGUCUUUACAUAAGCAGGAAAAGUGAGAAGUUCCACUAUGAUACUUACUCUAGCUGCUGUUAUUAAAACUCGUAAGUAUUCCCAGAACACUUUGCACAGUAGAAGAUAACAGUCCCUUUGUUGUAAAAAGGAACAGAUCAUCAUUUUGCUCAACCCACCGCUGCAAUCAAGUGGGUAAGUACAAGGCAAAUGUAUCUGCAUUGAACAAACAGGUGGGAAAGAUUUGAAGGGCUAAUGGCAGAGGGUGGUGUGUUUUUGGAGCUAUCCCUCCAAGGAAACAGGAGUGCUGCCAAAGUACUGAUCAUCCAAAGUUCUGAUUACCUAUUCAGACCCAUGGGGAAUUAACAGAGGAUUUCUAACCAAGAUACGGUUUGUGGAUUUGUUUGCAAUUAGUAAAUACAGCUAUACAUUGCUCUUAACCUGACAAUUUAACCCUGAGUUAAUCUUUCUGAUGUAGUAUGGUGACAUCACGUCUGCAAGGACAGUUUCCUGUUGCCUAAGGAUGCAUUUCACUUACAAUAGGUACCAAAUGAACUGAAGUUCAUGAAAACCUAAAAAAGUCACCUACUUCACAACUACAUGCAACAACAAAGUGUCCGAUAUGCAGCACUAUAUUCAACAAGUAUUCUUAAGCCUCAAGGUGACUUGCAGAAGGUCAUACUGUGAUACCUCUGUUCUCUCAAUUCUUGGGUUCAUGCUAUAGCCAUUAGGUUAUGUUCCUUUCCUCAAUGAAUAGUUACACAUCCUUGCUUUAUAUUUUUAUAUUUGUCUUCCUCCUGAGGAAUUGAUGUGUUUGGAGUAACGGAAAAGUCUAGUAGGUUGUUUUUCUAGUUUGUCUGUAUUUGCCUUUGAAAACAUACAUAAUGUUAAGGUCAGUAAAGCAUAUGCAUCUUGAAUGCAGAAAAUAAAAUCUGUUGUAAAGUA